This 301-nucleotide ribosomal RNA is filed under the name uncultured bacterium. RNAcentral describes it as "partial 16S ribosomal RNA". It matches the Rfam family "Bacterial small subunit ribosomal RNA", at positions 509 to 807 of the family's 1533-position model. The record is from RNAcentral.
CAGUAGCCACGGUAAUGCGAAGGGUGCAAGCGUUGCUCGGAAUUAUUGGGCGUAAAGGGUUGGUAGGUGGUCUUGUUUGUCUAAGGUGAAAUCCCAUGGCUUAACUGUGGAAGUGCCUUAGAAACGGCAAGACUAGAGUCCUAGAGGGGUUUGUGGAAUUCCCGGUGUAGCGGUGAAAUGCGUAGAGAUCGGGAGGAACACCAGCGGCGAAGGCGGCAAACUGGAUAGGCACUGACACUCAACAACGAAAGCGUGGGGAGCAAACAGGAUUAGAGACCCCGGUAGUCCCUGUCUCUUAUAC